Molecule: unclassified non-coding RNA, 1729 nt
Filed under: Anneissia japonica
Lineage: Eukaryota; Metazoa; Echinodermata; Crinoidea; Comatulida; Comatulidae
Description: betaine--homocysteine S-methyltransferase 1-like, transcript variant X2
Source: RNAcentral
GCGCUAUGUUGAAGUUAAUCUUGGAUAUUUUCCAAAUGAACAGUGAAUAUUUUCCAACAUAACAGCAGGCAAAAGAAAGAUGUUUAUGGAUAUGUUUAACAUCGGAUAUACGAAGAAAUAAAAAGAAAAGCGCUUUAAAGAUAUCAGUGGAGGAACUGAAUCUCACAUACACGAACGUGCACACUAAUGAAUGAAUGAAUUUUUCAACUACUGUGUUUUGUUUGAUUUGCAUCGCUGGUCACACAUAGUUUUUACCACGUGAAUUUACCAGCACGAACUGGUUGUAUCUAGCGGAAAGUACUCAGCUUGUACAUAUUAUUUUACACCAUUAUUACAGAAUAGGUUGUUUUUAAGAUAAGUCUAUUACACCCAUCACUUUUUGAAAACAAAUAUGCCUGGAAAUAUUAAAGGACUGAAGGAACGUUUGAAAAAUGGUGAGACAAUACUUAUUGCUGAGGGUUACUUGUUCGUGUUUGAACGACGUGGUUACCUCCAAGCGGGCGCUUUCGUUCCAGAAGUGAUCAUUGAACAUCCCGAGCUAGUGAAGGAGCAGCACAGAGAGUUUGUACAUGCUGGUAGUGACGUCGUGUUGGCCUUUACGUACUAUGCUCACCGAAAAAAAAUGCAAGUGAUUGAAAAAGAGGCGGAGUUAGAAAGAAUAAACCGAGAAGCAUUGCGAAUUGCAAAAGAAGUUGCGGAUGAAUCGGGGAAACUUCUGGCAGGAAAUAUCUGCAACACUGGAGUUUAUGAGCCUGAGAAUCAAGAGUCGUAUGCAAAAACAAAAGCGAUUUUUAAGGAGCAGAUUGAGUGGGCUCUUGAUUAUGAUGUGGAUUUCAUUCUUGCCGAGACAUUCCCAACACUUGGAGAAGCUAAACUGGCACUGGAAGCAAUUCAGGAAUAUGGGAAAGGCGUUCCAUCUGUUGUUACAUUCAUCACUGCUGGAAAGAAUACUAUCGAUGGAGAAGUUGCCACUCUCGAUGGCUUCACGCUGCCGGAUGCUUGUAAACAAUUGGAAGAUGCUGGAGCUGAUGUCGUUGGCAUGAACUGCUGCAGAGGACCUAACACAAUGCUACCCAUCAUGGAGAAAGUGCGAGCCGUCUGUAAGGGGCACCUGGCUGCCGUACCUGUUCCAUAUAGAACGACACCAAGUGAGCCAACAUUUUUUAACUUUGUUGAUCCAAAAGAUGGCAAGAUGUGUUUCCCAACCAACAUGGAUAUUAAAUUCUGCAAUCGAAGCGAUAUGGUUGAUUUUGGAAAGCGGUGUCAGGAAAUUGGAAUCAACUUUGUUGGAAUUUGUUGUGGAAAUUCAGCUCACCUGACGCGUGCUCUGGCCGAGUCGUAUGGACGCACGCCCCCAGCAUCACGAUACUCAGCCAAGAUGGAGAACCAUUUCAUUUAUGGAACCAAUCCUUGCUUAGUUAAAUAUUAUAAUGAGCAGACACAGAAGCUGUUUUAGGGUUAAUUUGGUAUCAUUCAAUUAAUGCAUGGUUAAAAAAGUUGGGAACUAUAUAUAUAUAUAUAUAUAUAUAUAUAUAUAUAUAUAUAUAUAUAGAUAUAUAUAUAUAUAUUAGUGGUUAUAGGAAUUUUAUAUUUGGACCUGUCGAUUUAAUAGUGAUGCUAGUACAGUAUUGACAUUUAACUAUACAAUGACAAACAAGCCUAUUCAGUGCCGAUCACUUGAGCGUUGUAAGAGAAUUGGCAAUAAAUUCAAAAUCAUUGCACCACUCAA